GUCCUAUCACUCUUUCCACUCUUCCUCACCCUUAUCUUUAUCUGUAAAUUUCCACUCUUUUGUUUCCGGAUUCUCUAGUUCGACGUCGUAAAAGUAAAACGCCCCCUAGCUAGGCUGAGUUCUACAAGCUUCAACUUCACUUUCUUAUGGUCAAGGCCUUCAAACAAGCAACUAUCUCUGGGAAAGUUGCUUUUCAAUUUUUAUCUCUAUCUUGGGCUUGCUGCUAUUUUUAUAUUUCCUUGAAAAUUUGAAGACUUAUAUAAAGUUGGCAACUAAAAGCUCAGACAAGAACGGCAAGACAUCCAAGGAGGAACACAAAAAUAGAAGAGGAAAGAGAGAAGAAAAAAAAGGAAGAGGAAAGAUCAAUUGGAAAGCGAGGAAGCUGUUUCCAUGUUUCCAACCAGACUUGCGCUGCAAGAAAGAAAAGUCUUCCCACUUCCCAGUCUAAAGGUACAAGCGAUGGGGACGAGAUGUUACCGAGUUCAUCAGCUACAUAAGUCAAUUACACCACUGCUCGUUCAAGCUGAGACCUAUGUAUCAUGUUGAUCGAGUGUGGGCUAUGGAAUAAUUCUCAACUGGAUCUUGAUCAUUUAAUGUACACUAGAAAUCGGAAAAUAAAAUUCUUUUAAUCUAUUUGAGUGUUGAAAUUUGUAUAACAAUUAUUUGCUUUUCUUUCCACCCAUAAGAUGGAUUUCACUGAAAAUGUGACUUUUUA
This is a long non-coding RNA of Quercus robur (English oak), 715 nucleotides long. RefSeq lists it as uncharacterized. The transcript has 3 exons. NCBI's taxonomy places the organism in Eukaryota, Viridiplantae, Streptophyta, Magnoliopsida, Fagales, Fagaceae. The record is from RefSeq and is a predicted model, not a curated record.